AGCAGACACACCAAGCGAGGCAGCAAAGAGGGCAGCAAAAGCUGUCUUUAAUGAUGUAAUCCCUUUCUUUAAAGAUCAGAAAAAGCAGCAAUGAACAAAUCUGAAUCAAAACCUUUAAUGUGCCCUGAUUCUUAGGACGUGGCAUUAAACAUGUCCCACCUCCUUUAAACAACAUGGAAUCUUUAACCAUUGAGAUGAUGGUGUUCGUAUGUAACAGGUUGAACUUCUUGCGUGAGCUUUCUUCUAUUUUCUGACUCUUUUCUGAAGCGUGUUGCAACAGCUGCAGAGCAAAGUGCUUCCUGACUGAAUGAAAGUUCAAUCUUUUCUUAUUUUUAGUACAAAGUGCCUGAUAUGUUGUUUCUUAUGUGUAUCACAACUGUGACCACAAACCACAAAUAUAAUGUUGUUUCAUCAUCUUGCUUCAGUAAGAUCUUUAGAAAAUGUCAAACUAGUGUGGUCUGUUGGAUGUUGAAUCGUUGUUCUGUUUCCUGUUACAAAGUCAACCAGAACAUGUUUGUUUCUAUUUACAUCAUUUUGUGAGACAAUAAUUGUUUUUAUCUGUGGAUUAAAAUGUAUCAGCAAGACAAAUAAAACAAGAAAUGAAAUGAAGCCUGUGAAACAUUUUUUUACUUUGUAAAGCGACACUCCAACACACACACACACACACACACACACACACACACACACACACACACACACACACACACACACACACACACACACACACACACACACACACAUACAGGAAGUGAAGAUAAGACUUGUCUAAAUGGAGAGAAAAGAGACACAGGACGUUUUUUGUGUGAAAACUUUUCCUCUUCACUGAUUUCUCUUCUGAAAUCAGACUCAGUAACUUCAAGUUAAUAAUUUCAGUCAUUACGACGUGUUGAUUCAAACCACCAACCUUGUGGUUCCCAGCACACCCUGUCUACCCUGCGCCACGACGGCCCUUUACGACAUUGGCAUUGGCAUAUGGCAUUUCUGCAGUUGAAAAAUGUGUUAAACAUUAUUUCCUCCCCAGAAAUUCCACCUUGAAAAGAGAAGAAUGUCUGCGCAUGUAACUGUUGUUUCAAUAGAAACCUCAACAAUCAUAAAUAUAAAAAGAAAUAGUAACGUUUGAUCUCAAAGAAAAAGAGCUGUAGUUUGUUAACAUGGUUUUCACAGUCUGCCCUCCUUUACGGCUCAAUCAGGAGGGAACAUACCUGCAAACUUGUCGCUUUUGGGCGAAAUUCACAGUUUUGAAAUCAAAACAGUUCACCCAGGUGAAUUGUGUAGAUCAGAAGAGUUUUUAUUUGGGGGGUCAACUGGCCGACAAGGCGUUUCUGAGAUUGGGGUGAAACUAGGGGUGUAACGAUUCAUUCACUGAAUCGAUUAAUCGAUUUAUAUUCCUGCGACCCAACUGAAUCGAUCUGUGCUCCGCAAAUCGGCAUUCCGGACGACAUUUAUCGAUUACAAAUCGAUUGAAAUGGUACAUAAUCGAUUUGUAUCGAUACUUGGAAACUGCACAUUGGAUUUAAGUACAAAAACGGUGUCGAUGUGUGUUUGUUUGUUUGUUUGUUUUUUAGCACUUUAGACACGUUAAACGUUACUGGAUUCAGUCUGCCUGUCUGUGACGUCAUCAGUACGAAACUCUGAACAACAACAACACACAGCGUGGAGGAGACGACUGCGAGCGAGACAUUUACCAACUUAUCGAUCCAGCACGUGGAAACAUUUUGGCUUUUGCAAACACGGAGGUGUUCUAAAUAAGUCGCUCGCUGUUUGUAGAAUAUGUAGAAGACAAAUAAAAACCACGGAAACACGAUGAAUCUUUCCGGCCGUCUACUAAGGCGCCGUGGGAUUAAACAACGCCGACAGUCAGGACCUCCAGCAGCGUCACCGCUGCAGCAGCAGCAGCAGGUAACUCAGCUCUGCAGACGCCUCAGGCCUCCAGCACCAAACUCAUCACAGUAACAAGUUUAUCUGUAAAGACAUGUGACCCUACAAUGUGGUUGAACAUCCGGGGUUCUGUGAAUUGAUCCAAACAUUGUGUAAUUAUUGUGUAAUGUUUACAUUGAAAAUGGCACUUGAUUCAAAUAAAAGGUUAAUACGUUUGCCAUUAAUUGUUGUUUGCUUGUUUAUAAUAUCCAUAAUUAAUUUAAACCUGAUUUCCUUACAAGAAAAAACAGGGAUCUCAGAAACUUUGCCUGCACUGUCCAGUAAAGUUACUGAAUCCAUUUCAAGUCACUGAAUCGAAUCAAAUCGAAUCGUUGUAAAUUAACCCAGAUCGUCCAUGAAGCGAAUCGGCAACCAUGAAGCGUGAUUCGAAUCGAAUCGUUAAAAAAACGACUCUCUCUGUCAUCAAUGUGACCGAGUGUGUUUUGGUAUCUGAGCGGCAUUUAUUUGAGUUCUUGUGAGAUAAAUCAGUAAUGUUUGAUCUCAAAGAAAAAGAGCUGUAGAUUGUUAACAUGGCUCUCAAAGUCUGACCCUCCUUUAUGGCUCAAUUAGCGAGGGAGAUAAACAGAAGGAGAUAAAAAGAGUUUUUAUUUGGGGGGUCAACUGGCCAGCCAGCGUUUCUGAGAUGGGGUGAAACUAGGAAAAAAGUCGAUGUCUUGAUCUUCGCAAUAAAACAUCUUUGAUGUGACGCAACGAGGCUUGGCCAAUCAGUGGUGAUGUUACAAGAUGUGCCGCCGCUUCGAAGCGUGUGUCGAGUAAUGCAGGGGGCGUGUCCUCAAAGCGCGUAUCAAGGCUUGCUUCAUUUAGGGGAGGAGCCAAAAAUGAUGAUAAAAUAGACUACAAAGGCUAAUAGGCUACAACAACAGCUUCAUGCACUGGUUUGAUUAUUUGCCGUUUCAUGCCAAGGAAAAGUGUGGUGGUUGUAGCUGGUUGUCAUCUACGGUCCACUACUGUUACACAGAGGUGUCCUUUGUGUUUUGAUAAUGUUUCAUCUCAUAAUUUUGACUUUAUAUCCCCUUUCUGUAGUGCGGAAAUGGGCUUCUAUAGUUCUGUGGGGCCACCUACUGGUAACAGGAAGUCAAAUUUUCUAGUAUCCAGGAAAAACAAAGGUGGCAUUUUGAGAGGCUUUAAUUUCUAAAACGGUACAUCAGAAUCUCCUGGUUAUCACUCAGUCACACCUUGGGGAUGUCUACUCUCUGCUUUAAGUGGAAAUACUGUGUGACUAUUGAUUUUAUUCCUUUCUAAACAUAAUCUGAAAUUGACCAGAUUUUGAAGGAAGUUGGCUCAUGUAUGACAUUUUGAGGGGCUUUGAAAUGGUACACCAGAAUGUCCUGAUUAUCCCUGAGUGACUCCUUGGGGAUGUGUACUAUAAGAGCGAGGACCUGUGCAUCGCUGCUUGCUGCUUUAAUUGAUAUUUGUGCUUUUGAAACAUGGAAUAUAACCAGUAAUAUUUGUAGAUAUCUGCGCAAAAUAUCUGCUUUUCCUGCAUGUCCUCUCCGCUUGUCUGCUUGUCUCAGCUGGGCUCGGGCACGGUCCAAAUGCAGCGGGUCUAAGAAGCAGUUUAGCCAAUCACUGAUAAGUUAAUGAUGGACAUUAUAAUUUCAGCGUCCUAAAAUACAUGAGAUUUCGGCCCUUCGCCGCCCUACGCUGCGCUCUCGUCAGAGCGUUUAACAACAACAAGAGCCACCAACCACCGGCAGUCCUUCCAAAAACACCUGACCCUAACUCGGUACGAGAGAAGAACUUUGCAGGAGAAACUAGAGGUACAACAGCUGGACGAAGAUCAGCAUAUGUAUAUUCAUUAUUAUAAUACGGGUAGAUUAAAUCCAGCAAUAAUGUACAUUACCUGUUCACAUUGAUCUGUGCACUUAAAGUAACAGGUAAAGGCUGGCGCAUGCGUCUGCACGCACUGUUACGUCGACGCACUCGUUUCAAUUCAUAAGGCGUGCGUGUGUUGCAGAGCUAUUCACUGCCAGAACAAUAGGUGGAUAAAAGAAAGUAAGACGACCUAGAGAGUCACGUCUUUGUGUGUGGAAGUCGUUGGUUGGUUUAUUUAUUUAUCAUAGACUUUAUUGUCCCUGUGCAUUGCUACUGCUGCUUUUCAUCAAGGACACAUUUGUCCCGUAUUUUCCUCCACAACGUUGUUCCUCUCGACCGGCAAACCGACGUUUGUGGAGAUCUCCCUCCAUGAAUCAGAGGCCAUCCUUAUAGUCCGCCAAUGACGGCUUGUAUAAGUGGUCAUAUUUACGCAUUUCUUCCCAAAAAAGUUCUUCAAUCUGAUCCGUUCUCUCGUAAACAUUCUUCCUUUUAAUAAUGGAGGUAUUGGGCUAUGAAAACGGAAAUGUGAGACUCCGUAAAGGAUGUAGUCAGCAGACCAAUUACAGCUUGUGCGCUGCGGGAGGCUGCGUCGCUUUCGACACUAGUCUAGAAAAAUGGGUCGACACACGCAAGGAAGUGUGAAAAGACACGCAAGGGACACGCAAGGGGGUCUUGCGUCUGUGUGUCCUCGCGUUUCUCUGAAAACGCCGAAGCAUAGACUAGGCUGUAGGGAUUUAAGCACUACAGCACACCUAGUGGUCGAAAUGAUAAUACAUGUAGUAAUGUUUAGUGUUAGAAUUGUAGUUUGUGUGAUGUUAGAUAGUAGUUAUUACAUAAGCAUGUUAGAUAAAAUAAUUGAAAACUAAAUCUAACAUAAUUUAUAGUCAUUUAAGUCAUAUAUGAUCAAAGGAUGUACGACAGCCCUGCGAGACAAACAUUCUGGUUGUAGACCAUAUAGAACUGAGUUAAACACAAUGAUUAAGAUGUUAUGAAAUGGGAUGUUAUUAUGCAUGCUAUGUUAUGUUCACAUUAUGAAUCUUUAAGUCAAAGGUGUGAUCAUUGCACCUGAAAUUGUAUUUAUAAUGGCACUUAUUGCUAGCAAAUUGUAAAUUGACUUAUUUGAUGAAAUUGAAGUUUCUUGCUCAAGGCAGUUGACUUUUUAUGACCUGCGUGGCGGCGUUCAGCGUGACGGCGCACGGGGCCUGGCUGGGCCGUGGGGGCGCCGGCGACUGGUGCAUCCUUUGCUGGGCGUUCGGCUUCACCU
Long non-coding RNA from Gasterosteus aculeatus aculeatus (three-spined stickleback), 5017 nucleotides. Lineage: Eukaryota; Metazoa; Chordata; Actinopteri; Perciformes; Gasterosteidae. The record is from Ensembl.